AAUAUUGAACUUACCAUUUCUACUAUAUGAUUAUACUGUUUCUGUCAUAUAGACUUGAAUAUUUGAAAAAAUUAAAGUAAAAAGUUCUAACAAAAAAACUGAUUUUUGACAGAAAAUCAACGAAUUUUUGACAUUACAAGAAAUUAUUUCGGAGUAUUUUAGAACAUUUUCAAAAGUUGUCAUUUUAAAUUCCCCUUAUGAUCAGGGCUGACCCCAAGUAGUUGGGAUUAAGGCGAGAAAAAAGAAGAAGAUUUUAUUAAUAUUCAUUUGAUGGAUAUGAUAGAGGUUACUUCACCAUUCUUCAACAAUAUGAAUCAAUAAAAGUUCUUACUUUAUAAUGGUCUUCAGCUUUUUUCCAAUCUUCUUCAGAUAAAUUGACAGUUCCAAAUGAUUGCAUUGCAUAUUGUAAGAGUGCUGGAUCUGAUCGACCAACUUGGCUUAUCAUUGGUCCAGACAUACCAGGAAUACCACCUAUGAUAAAAUAAUGAUUAAACUAUUUUAAUUAAUAUAUUAAACUUUAAUUAAAUAUUCUUUUACACAUUUAAUCAAAUACUUACCAAGUUUUUGAACAUUGAAAGGCUGAGAAGGUGUUUUCACAGUAUUUGCUAAUGGAAUUCCUACAUUAGAAGAAACAUUAGGGAUCUUCACAUUAUCACUUUCCCACCUACUUUUACGUUUACGUUUUUUAUUAGAACUAUCAUGAUUUUCAGAACUACAUAUUUCUUGGUUGACUGAUGAUGGUAUGAUUUCAGUAGGGGUAAGUUUAUUUGCUACAAUUUUAGCUCUUAAAUAACUAACUCUUUGUCUAAAAAUUGCAUAAGCUGUAGAAUUUUUGUCUCUUAAAAAUCUAAGAAAUUAUGAUUGAUUUAAAAAAUUAAAGAUAUAAAAUUAUUAUAUUAACUUUAACAUACAAUAAAUUAACAUCUUGAGGACGUUCUUGUAAUAUUAUAUUUUCUAUUUCAUCACCAAACUCAGCUACAGUGGCAGCCAAACUUUCAACAUCUUCAUUAUUGAGUAUAGCUUGUGGGUCACAUCUCAGCACUGUAUUCAAAGCUAGACAACUCUGAAUCAGCUCAAUGUGUGAUUAACAGUACCUCUUGGAACUGCAGUGAAGGUUUCUAUCGUCUGUGGCGGAACAUUCAAUAAAUGUGUAGCAUUUGGAGAUGGCCCCAAAGAUACUGUAGACGUCUCAGUUACUAUAAAAG
This is a long non-coding RNA of Daktulosphaira vitifoliae (grape phylloxera), 1205 nucleotides long. RefSeq lists it as uncharacterized. The transcript has 4 exons. Lineage: Eukaryota; Metazoa; Arthropoda; Insecta; Hemiptera; Phylloxeridae. The record is from RefSeq and is a predicted model, not a curated record.